CUAACAAGGAUUCCCCUAGUAACUGCGAGUGAAGCGGGAAAAGCUCAAAUUUAAAAUCUGGCGGUUUUACCGUCCGAGUUGUAAUCUGGAGAAGCGUUUUCCGCGCCGGACCGUGUACAAGUCUCUUGGAAUAGAGCGUCAUAGAGGGUGAGAAUCCCGUCCAUGACACGGACUACCGGUGCUCUGUGAUACGCUCUCGAAGAGUCGAGUUGUUUGGGAAUGCAGCUCAAAAUGGGUGGUAAAUUCCAUCUAAAGCUAAAUAUUGGCGAGAGACCGAUAGCGAACAAGUACCGUGAGGGAAAGAUGAAAAGCACUUUGGAAAGAGAGUUAAACAGUACGUGAAAUUGUUGAAAGGGAAACGCUUGAAGUCAGUCGCUUCUUGCAGGACUCAGCCUUGCUUCGGCCUGGUGUACUUCCUGUAGGACGGGUCAACAUCGAUUUCGAUCCGGCGGACAAAGGAUUAGGGAAUGUGAUAUCCUUUCGGGGAUGUGUUAUAGCCCUUUUUCGUAUACGCCGGUUGGGAUUGAGGACCGCAGCGCGCCUUUAAUGGCCGGGGGUUAAACCCACGUACCGCGCUUAGGAUGUUGGCAUAAUGGCUUUAAGCGACCCGUCUUGAAACACGGACCAAGGAGUCUAACAUGCUUGCGAGUGUUAGGGUGGAAAACCCUUGCGCGUAAUUAAAGUGAAAGUUGGGAUCCUCCGCAAGGGGGUGCACCGACGCCCGGCCCUGAAGUUUACGGACGGUGCUGCGGUAGAGCACGUAUGUUGGGACCCGAAAGAUGGUGAACUAUGCCUGAAUAGGGCGAAGCCAGAGGAAACUCUGGUGGAGGCUCGUAGCGAUUCUGACGUGCAAAUCGAUCGUCAAAUUUGGG
RNAcentral lists this ribosomal RNA (872 nucleotides) under Asterodon ferruginosus. RNAcentral's name for it is "eukaryotic LSU rRNA". It matches the Rfam family "Eukaryotic large subunit ribosomal RNA", at positions 65 to 915 of the family's 3401-position model. Lineage: Eukaryota; Fungi; Basidiomycota; Agaricomycetes; Hymenochaetales; Hymenochaetaceae. The record is from RNAcentral.